Molecule: long non-coding RNA, 351 nt
Filed under: Prunus persica (peach)
Lineage: Eukaryota; Viridiplantae; Streptophyta; Magnoliopsida; Rosales; Rosaceae
Description: long non-coding RNA (PPER_LNC006497)
Source: RNAcentral
AAUUGCCAUUUAAUUGACAAUUUUAUUUUAUUUAUUGUUGUUGUUUUUAAACCUCUGCCACUGUGAAAAAACAUGGGCCUCUAAUGGUGAUUGGACAACUUUCUGGAGUAAAGGCCCAUUCUUUUGUUUUUUUUUUUCUGUUUUGUGGGCUUCUUCAUAAAGAUGGGCUGGCGCGUGGAAUUCUUAGGCCCAAACACUAACAACCUUCUUUCUAACAUUCUCUUUUGGACUUUCUCCUUUCUUCUCAUGACAAGUGUCACUUUUCUUACACUUAAUACAAUGUUAUUAAUGCAUCACACAAGUUAUUUUUUGUUUUCCAAAUUUACCCUUAUUAAAUGUAUUAGCUUUUUU